AUAGAGCACUUCCUUGGACUUCUAGAAAUGAUAUGACGCUGCGUUUUGCAAUGGCUGUCGAGUUGCCAAUCUUCUUGAAUGAUAAAAGGUUGCUAUCCACACAAGUAAAAGCACCUGCCCAAGCAAGGCAAAUGGUUCUCAGCCAAAGCCAAAGGUUGCUGGUGUUGAUUGGAAUUUUAACAGUUGGGGAGGUACGCUUUAUAGUUAUGCAAAGCUGAUGUCUAUAUUGAAGUUGUACAGUUUUCUAUAGUCAUACAACACAAUACAAAACACAAAUGAAAACACAAAUGAAAAAUCUAUGAUUUUGCCACUAAACUAUAUAAGAGUAUCAAUGAUAUGGGCCAUUAAAAUUUGUGUGCUGAGUUCUAUCUUUAAAACUAUUGAUGAUAUAAGAGUAUUGAUGAUAUAGUUUUACAGGAAUUUACAUAUAUAGAAUGUGCUAUCUAGCAACAGGAGUCUAGUGCUUUUCGUUGCCCAUAGUUGAUUAGGUUGGCAGCAAUUUACCCCAAAGGCAGUUUCUUAACACCUUUUGUGGCUUUCUUUCUUACUUUUUUUUUUCCCUAAUGAGAUGGACUAGAUAUUGGAUCCAACUAUUACCUUGUUACUGUAGUUUUCUUUACCUUUUUCUAUCAUUCAAAUGGUUCAUUGCGUAAAUGGCUUUGAUUGCAGCUUGAC
This is a long non-coding RNA of Rosa rugosa (rugosa rose), 675 nucleotides long. RefSeq lists it as uncharacterized. The record is from RefSeq and is a predicted model, not a curated record. NCBI's taxonomy places the organism in Eukaryota, Viridiplantae, Streptophyta, Magnoliopsida, Rosales, Rosaceae. The transcript is spliced from 3 exons.